GACGAACGCUGGCGGCGUGCUUAACACAUGCAAGUCGAACGAAGAGCGAUGGAAGCUUGCUUCUAUCAAUCUUAGUGGCGAACGGGUGAGUAACGCGUAAUCAACCUGCCCUUCAGAGGGGGACAACAGUUGGAAACGACUGCUAAUACCGCAUACGAUCUAAUCUCGGCAUCGAGGAUAGAUGAAAGGUGGCCUCUAUUUAUAAGCUAUCACUGAAGGAGGGGAUUGCGUCUGAUUAGCUAGUUGGAGGGGUAACGGCCCACCAAGGCGAUGAUCAGUAGCCGGUUUGAGAGGAUGAACGGCCACAUUGGGACUGAGACACGGCCCAGGCUCCUACGGGAGGCAGCAGUGGGGAAUCUUCCGCGAUGGACGAAAGUCUGACGGAGCAACGCCGCGUGAGUGAUGACGGCCUUCGGGUUGUAAAGCUCUGUUAAUCGGGACGAGAGGCCUUCUUGCGAAUAGUUAGAAGGAUGACGGUACC
This 481-nucleotide ribosomal RNA is filed under the name Veillonella dispar. RNAcentral's name for it is "bacterial SSU rRNA". It matches the Rfam family "Bacterial small subunit ribosomal RNA", at positions 28 to 479 of the family's 1533-position model. The record is from RNAcentral. Lineage: Bacteria; Bacillati; Bacillota; Negativicutes; Veillonellales; Veillonellaceae.